RNAcentral lists this ribosomal RNA (301 nucleotides) under uncultured bacterium. Its description in RNAcentral is "partial 16S ribosomal RNA". It matches the Rfam family "Bacterial small subunit ribosomal RNA", at positions 509 to 808 of the family's 1533-position model. The record is from RNAcentral.
CAGUAGCCACGGUAAUACGUAGGUCCCGAGCGUUAUCCGGAUUUAUUGGGCGUAAAGCGAGCGCAGGCGGUUAGAUAAGUCUGAAGUUAAAGGCUGUGGCUUAACCAUAGUACGCUUUGGAAACUGUUUAACUUGAGUGCAAGAGGGGAGAGUGGAAUUCCAUGUGUAGCGGUGAAAUGCGUAGAUAUAUGGAGGAACACCGGUGGCGAAAGCGGCUCUCUGGCUUGUAACUGACGCUGAGGCUCGAAAGCGUGGGGAGCAAACAGGAUUAGAGACCCCUGUAGUCCCUGUCUCUUAUACA